UUUUAUUUCUUAUUUUCACUGUAUUUUAAUUUUAUUUUUAUUUCUUAAUUCAUUUUCAUUUUACAAUAAGGUGAUGGAUCUAAACACGUCAGCAGGGACAAGGUGACGGACUCCAAACCAAUUCCCACAUCCCUCUGCCUCCCUAAAAACAAUCCCUCACACCCUGCGGCUGCCUCCUCAUCUCAGCCCUUCCUUACUGAGCUGAGCUUUGCUCUCUGCUCCUUAUCAGCUCCACCCACUGAUUAAAGCAACUUUUAAUCUUGAUUUGACUCCUCUCACCGGCUGCUUUCCCUUUGCCACAAGGUCUCUCUGCUCUUCCACAGCCACUUCCUUUAAUCCAUCAUCCCUCAGCCACUGCUGAGACUUCCCUCUCUCCAAAUGUCCCCACUUCCCUGGCAGCAGCUCAUCUCCCACCUCCCCACAAAGGCUGGACAUUCCCAAAAAUCCUCACUUCAACCCGACCUGCAGCUCCCAUCAACUCGAGUUACACACAUUCCCUUUCCCAACUUUCUAUCUCGUUAACCCACAAGAGCAAUAAUUAGGAAAACUUCAUUUUGGCUCCAAAGCCGAACUCCAAACACCAGGGCACUGCAGGUGGAGCUUUGGGCAGGGAUGGGGGGUUGGAUCGGGGGGGUUUGCUCCCCACACCUGAGCAGGGCUGUAGCCGGCGGCUCCCAUCCCCAUCCUGCUCGUGCCGCUGGAAUUCAGCUGAUUCAGUGGCCUCUGGGCUUCAAAAGGCACCUUCAGCUCUCCAGUCAAAGGCUGUGGCUCCUGAGAUCCACGGGGCAGGAUCUGGGAACGCCGGGCAGGGCUGGGAAAUGUGCAUCUACGAGGAAGGGCGAGGGCACAACCGCCUCCCUCUGUUCUGGUUUGGCAAUUCCUUCCCCGCAGAUCUGGAAACGCUACAAAGCUGAGGGAACAACCACCCGCCCCUGCAGAUCAGCAGCCCCGGGGGGGAUGCGGCUUCCAGCGGCUCCCAGGGGAUGGAGACUCUCCCUCUGGAUUUUAUUCCUCUCCAUUUCAGAUUCUGACCCGCCCUGUGACCUCAGGAAUGACGUUAAGCCUGGUGUGACCUCAGCUUUAUUGUCUCAUUGUGCUGCUGCCAUUAAAGGAGGUUUUGUGUGAGAAUAAAAAAGCACAGCUCUUCUACUGGAAGGUGGAC
RNAcentral lists this long non-coding RNA (1162 nucleotides) under Manacus vitellinus (golden-collared manakin). RNAcentral describes it as "lncRNA (ENSMVIG00005014127.1)". The record is from RNAcentral. Lineage: Eukaryota; Metazoa; Chordata; Aves; Passeriformes; Pipridae.